RNAcentral lists this transfer RNA (73 nucleotides) under Myotis davidii. It matches the Rfam family "tRNA". From Rfam's summary of the family: Transfer RNA (tRNA) molecules are approximately 80 nucleotides in length. Their secondary structure includes four short double-helical elements and three loops (D, anti-codon, and T loops). The record is from Rfam by way of RNAcentral. Lineage: Eukaryota; Metazoa; Chordata; Mammalia; Chiroptera; Vespertilionidae.
GCCGGUGUGGCUCAGUGGACAGAGCAUCAGCCUGCAGACUGAAGGGUCCCGGGUUCGAUUCCGGUCAAGAGCA